Molecule: ribosomal RNA, 548 nt
Filed under: uncultured Glomus
Lineage: Eukaryota; Fungi; Glomeromycota; Glomeromycetes; Glomerales; Glomeraceae
Description: SSU rRNA
Rfam family: Eukaryotic small subunit ribosomal RNA
Source: RNAcentral
UGGAGGGCAAGUCUGGUGCCAGCAGCCGCGGUAAUUCCAGCUCCAAUAGCGUAUAUUAAAGUUGUUGCAGUUAAAAAGCUCGUAGUUGAAUUUCGGGAUCAAUAUGUCGGUCGUGCCUUCGGUACGUACUGGUAUCAUUGGUUUCUCCUUUCUGACGAACCAUGAUGUCAUUAAUUUGGUGUUAUGGGGAGUUAGGACUGUUACUUUGAAAAAAUUAGAGUGUUUAAAGCAGGCUUUAGCUUGAAUACAUUAGCAUGGAAUAAUGAAAUAGGACGUUCGAACCUAUUUUGUUGGUUUCUAGGAUCAACGUAAUGAUUAAUAGGGAUAGUUGGGGGCAUUAGUAUUCAAUUGUCAGAGGUGAAAUUCUUGGAUUUAUUGAAGACUAACUACUGCGAAAGCAUUUGCCAAGGAUGUUUUCAUUAAUCAAGAACGAAAGUUAGGGGAUCGAAGACGAUCAGAUACCGUCGUAGUCUUAACCAUAAACUAUGCCGACUAGGGAUCGGAUGAUGUUAAUUUUUUAAUGACUCAUUCGGCGCCUUACGGGAAAC